This 73-nucleotide transfer RNA is filed under the name Mustela putorius furo (domestic ferret). It matches the Rfam family "tRNA". From Rfam's summary of the family: Transfer RNA (tRNA) molecules are approximately 80 nucleotides in length. The record is from Rfam by way of RNAcentral. Lineage: Eukaryota; Metazoa; Chordata; Mammalia; Carnivora; Mustelidae.
ACCAGGCUGGCUGAGUUGGUAGAGCGGGUGACUCUUGAUCUCAGGGUUGUAGGUUCAAGUCCUAUGUUGGGUA